GUGAGUCGUCAGCGUUGUUGGCGGAUCCUAUGGGUGAGGAGCCAUGCUUCUACCAACUUUGGGGGCUUUUCAGUCUUAGAAGCCCUUUCACAAUUGAGAUUCUCCAUUUUUAAAGCCCCAGAGGCAAUCUGCAAAGGUUGUGUCUGCGGUGGGACACCUGAGGCUGAAUCUACAGAGGAAGAAGCAUGGCUCGCUGCUCCCCAGGGAGCUCUGCAGAGAAGAGAGACGGUGAGAGUACACCCAGUGGGCCGCCCUGUCUGCCCAACUUUGCACCAGGGGGCCGGAGGGGAUGUCCAGUGUUCAGGUGUCAUCUUAUAGCUGGUCACAGGUCUUGACAACCUCUGACUUGGAGCAGUGAGAAGAUCCACUGACUAUUAGUCUGUAAAUGAUGUUAUUUCCUCACCUCACUGAAUUAUGAAUACUUCUGUAUAUGUGAAUUCAUUGAGCCCAUUGAGGACUAUUCAUGACUGGCCAUCUCUGCUGCUCUAUUUCUUCCAAUAACCAGCUCUUUUAAAAUGUUUGAGUCAUGAGUCUUUCAAAUGUAAAAUUUAUCUUAGAGUAUGAUGAUGAUCAUCCUUUUCCACCGAUAUGAGGUAUAUGUAUAUUUGGUAGACAUAGGGAUCUUACCGAAAUAGUAAAGAGAAAUCUUAAGCAGAUAAAACUCUUCAUGUAUAAGCUAGGAGCAAUCUAAAAUAUUUGUCCCUCCACAAAAAAAUCAUAUAUAUGUAUAUAUAUAUAAUAUAUGUAGUUGAGUAUCUAGCAGUGUAAUUUAGUAUUUUACUGAUCAUCUGAUAUCUCAUUAGAAUGAAUAUAUAACUCCAACUUCAACUGGGUAGUUCUAUUAACUGUCUUCAAUCCUCUUCAAGGAUUGCUGUCUAAGGCUUUCAUUUAGAUAAUAAUGGCCCUUCUUCAAGUCCAAAAAAAAAAAAAAUGUUUUUAAGCACUAGCUAUUUCUCUAGGAGUUAAGAAAUAUGUUUACCUUAUAGUAACACACACAAUCAGGAGUCUCUCCCCUGGCUUUUUCCCCUUACUUGCAAAAAUCUUUAUAAAAAGACAUCUUGCUUGGAAAAAG
This 1072-nucleotide long non-coding RNA is filed under the name Bos grunniens (domestic yak). RNAcentral describes it as "lncRNA (ENSBGRG00000004260.1)". Lineage: Eukaryota; Metazoa; Chordata; Mammalia; Artiodactyla; Bovidae. The record is from RNAcentral.